UGCAAGUCGAGCGGUAAGGCCCUUCGGGGUACACGAGCGGCGAACGGGUGAGUAACACGUGGGUGAUCUGCCCUGUACUUCGGGAUAAGCCUGGGAAACUGGGUCUAAUACCGGAUAUGACCUUACAUCGCAUGGUGUUUGGUGGAAAGAUUUAUCGGUACAGGAUGGGCCCGCGGCCUAUCAGCUUGUUGGUGGGGUAAUGGCCUACCAAGGCGACGACGGGUAGCCGGCCUGAGAGGGCGACCGGCCACACUGGGACUGAGACACGGCCCAGACUCCUACGGGAGGCAGCAGUGGGGAAUAUUGCACAAUGGGCGAAAGCCUGAUGCAGCGACGCCGCGUGAGGGAUGACGGCCUUCGGGUUGUAAACCUCUUUCGACAGGGACGAAGCGCAAGUGACGGUACCUGUAGAAGAAGCACCGGCCAACUACGUGCCAGCAGCCGCGGUAAUACGUAGGGUGCGAGCGUUGUCCGGAAUUACUGGGCGUAAAGAGCUUGUAGGCGGUUUGUCGCGUCGUCCGUGAAAACUUGGGGCUCAACCCCAAGCUUGCGGGCGAUACGGGCAGACUUGAGUACUGCAGGGGAGACUGGAAUUCCUGGUGUAGCGGUGAAAUGCGCAGAUAUCAGGAGGAACACCGGUGGCGAAGGCGGGUCUCUGGGCAGUAACCGACGCUGAGAAGCGAAAGCGUGGGUAGCGAACAGGAUUAGAUACCCU
This 715-nucleotide ribosomal RNA is filed under the name Nocardia farcinica. RNAcentral describes it as "bacterial SSU rRNA". It matches the Rfam family "Bacterial small subunit ribosomal RNA", at positions 56 to 788 of the family's 1533-position model. Lineage: Bacteria; Bacillati; Actinomycetota; Actinomycetes; Mycobacteriales; Nocardiaceae. The record is from RNAcentral.